CAGCAUUUUAUUGUGACCCACAUAGGCCAACUUGGCCUCAAAGACAACUGACUUACCCAUUCACUAGCAACUGUAUGCACAAGGCUAAAUUCUAGAUUCAUCCAAUUACUUUAAAAGGCCCCGUGGGAAUAUACUCAACAACACUGUGUGUUUAUUACAGAGGAUGCUGUGACAUGUGGUUAUUCCUUGAGGAGCAGUGUUUUGUCUAUUUCAUCUGCUCUGGAUAUCUUCCAGUACUGGCAUAUCUUAGGACUGAGCACAGUUUUUCUCUGGAUGGCUUCUAUUCCAUCUAUUUUCCAUUCCUUCAGAGGUUACAAAUAAAGACACUGAUUUCCUUACUCAUAAAAUGAGAGUUUAAUGGCUACGUCACAAGAUAACUGUGAUGACCAUUUCAAAGGAAAUAAAGAAAGCAUUUAGUGCAGCAUGUGGGGGCAUAGUGUAACAUCCAUAAAUGUUCAUUUGCUUAUUUCUUUUUCCAGAUAUGGUCUUGAAGACAUCUUAAAAAAUCCGUUGGACCAGAGUAUAAAGGUGUGUUCCAGAAAAUUAGCCAAUGGCGCCUGCAGUUAUAAAAGAAAGUAUGUUCAAAGAUUUUCAAGAUUAUCUUGGAAUCAUAUGAAAAGAUUUAAAUGCAAAAUCUCCUCCUUGGUAAUGUAUAAGGAACUCCUGUGCUGCUUUGCAUCAUUGCAACAGGUCUUAUACAUAGCCUCAGUUAUAUCA
RNAcentral lists this long non-coding RNA (717 nucleotides) under Homo sapiens (human). RNAcentral's name for it is "HSALNT0186746". The record is from RNAcentral. Lineage: Eukaryota; Metazoa; Chordata; Mammalia; Primates; Hominidae.